GGUGAUAGUUUUACUGGUCGAUAAACUGGUCGAUAAACUCACAAAUAUAAGUAGUGUGCUACAUGAGGGGCAAAUCUUUCACUAACACCACAAGGGUCUCUGGCCCAAAUGAAUACAAUUUGAUAGUAAUUCUUGCUACAAAU
RNAcentral lists this small nucleolar RNA (143 nucleotides) under Vulpes vulpes (red fox). Lineage: Eukaryota; Metazoa; Chordata; Mammalia; Carnivora; Canidae. The record is from RNAcentral.